UCCCAUUACCCUGCUAAAUACUGGAUCUGGGUUAGAAAAGGAGCAAAAAAAAAAGCUGCUUUUCAGGUUAAAAGAGAUCAUAUGAAAUGCCCUUGAUUCUCUUGUAUCAAAGAAAGCAGUCAUAGUUGGAAGAGUCAUUUCCACCUGAAAAAUUAACUCCACCACCCCCGAGGCCCAGGCCCAGCCACAGAAGAACCGGUCCAUUGUGGCUCUUCCCAGAUGGCCUCCAAGUGGAUCUUCUCCAAUACCCACUCAGAUCGGCGGUCAGCCAUGACACAGCUCCUUGAAGAAGGCCCUAGAAACUACACUGUGUACUUUGUAUCUUUUCAGACAAAGGGAGAGACAAAUGGCAUUUAUGGCGUGUGACUCUAUGGCAGACACUGUGGCAAUGA
Hyaena hyaena (striped hyena) is the source of this 392-nucleotide long non-coding RNA. RefSeq lists it as uncharacterized. Lineage: Eukaryota; Metazoa; Chordata; Mammalia; Carnivora; Hyaenidae. The transcript has 2 exons. The record is from RefSeq and is a predicted model, not a curated record.